RNAcentral lists this long non-coding RNA (410 nucleotides) under Equus caballus (horse). RNAcentral's name for it is "lncRNA (ENSECAG00000042597.2)". Lineage: Eukaryota; Metazoa; Chordata; Mammalia; Perissodactyla; Equidae. The record is from RNAcentral.
CUCUCCUGGAGACCUUGCUGGAGCUGUUGCAUAGACUGGCUCUGGGAUUAAGUGCUAGACCACUGAAACCAGAUCUAUUCUCUAGGCCUUCCUGCUUCUCUCUGUGCCUGGGAAGCUGACCUAAAUGGACCACACCACCUGCCUUCCUUGCCCUCUGGCAAUCGACCAACAGAAGUCACCAGCAGGAGAUGAGAACAAGAAGAGAUGCAGAAGCUGUUGUCUUGGCCAGGAGGAGAGACACGUCUGCAGCGACAGACAGAAUCCAGCAUGGCGGUCGCUCAGUGGGUGUUGACGUCCUCGCCGGGUUUACCCGGGACUUCCAGGAGGGAGUCUUUCCUAGAGGCAAAGAGGAGCAGAAGCAAGUUAUGGGAACAAGGCGGCGAGUAGGAGAUAGAGAGAAGAAGUGAAAG